This 133-nucleotide small nucleolar RNA is filed under the name Vicugna pacos (alpaca). RNAcentral's name for it is "Small nucleolar RNA U3 (ENSVPAG00000015846.1)". It matches the Rfam family "Small nucleolar RNA U3", at positions 80 to 215 of the family's 219-position model. From Rfam's summary of the family: Small nucleolar RNAs (snoRNAs) are involved in the processing and modification of rRNA in the nucleolus. There are two main classes of snoRNAs: the box C/D class, and the box H/ACA class. U3 snoRNA is a member of the box C/D class. The record is from RNAcentral. Lineage: Eukaryota; Metazoa; Chordata; Mammalia; Artiodactyla; Camelidae.
CAAGGAGGAGGGGCAGGGUUCUCUCUUGAGUGUGAAGCUGGCUUUGGUGUUGCCUCGCUGCAACUGCCGUUUGCCAGCGAUGAUUGUUUUUCUCUUCCUUUGGGAGAGUAAGAGGGAGAGGGCAUAGUCUAAG